Conger conger (European conger) is the source of this 2402-nucleotide RNA transcript. It is a transcript of the gene named tripartite motif-containing protein 16-like, with no coding region annotated. Lineage: Eukaryota; Metazoa; Chordata; Actinopteri; Anguilliformes; Congridae. The record is from RefSeq and is a predicted model, not a curated record. The transcript has 7 exons.
CAGUUUCAGAGAAACAAAACAUUACUCAAUCUCUUUCACAAAAACGAGACUUAGCACUGUGUCUGUCAGAAAGGCACAGAAAAAAUCUGUCUCUGCCAGAGAAACAAAGCUUAACUUUGUUAGUGUGAGCAGUGAAAUGGCUGAGGCUAAUAUCUCGGUGGAUCAGGACCAGUUCAGCUGUUCAAUCUGUCUGGAUAUCCUGAAGGAUCCGGUGACUAUUCACUGUGGACAUAGUUACUGUAUGGGCUGUAUUAAGGGCUGCUGGGAUCAGGAUGAUCAUAUUGGUGUCUACAGCUGUCCCCAGUGCAGACAGACCUUCACCCCAAGGCCUGUUCUGGGCAGAAACACCAUGCUGGCUGAAGUGGUGGAGAAACUGAAGAAGACAGGACUCCAAGCUGCUCCUCCUGCUCACUGUUACGCUGGACCUGGAGACGUGGCGUGUGAUUUCUGCACUGGGAGAAAGCACAAAGCCAUCAAGUCCUGUCUGGUGUGUCUGGCAUCUUUCUGUGAAACUCACCUCCAGCCUCACUAUGAAUCUCCUGCCUUUAAAAAGCACAAACUGGUCAAAGCCACUGGAAACCUGCAGGAGAAGAUCUGCUCUAAUCACGACAAACUGCUGGAGGUUUUCUGUCGUAGCGAUCAGCAGUGUAUCUGUAUGCUGUGUGCGAUGGAUGAACACAGAGGCCAUGAUACAGUCUCAGUGGUAGCAGAAAGGACUGAGAAACAGAAGCAGCUGGGGGUGACACAGAGUAAGUUCCAGCAGAGAAUCCAGGAGAGAGAGAAGGCGCUGCAGGAUCUGAGACAGGCUGUGCAGUCACUCAAGCGCUCUGCACAGACAGCAGUGGAGGACAGUGAGAGGAUCUUUACUGAGCUGAUCCGCUCCAUUGAGAGAAGGCGCUCUGAGGUGAAAGAGCUGAUCAGAGAUCAGGAGAAGGCUGAAGUGAGUCGGGCUGAAGGACUCCUGGAGCGACUGGAGCAGGAGAUUGCUGAGCUGAGGAGGAGAGAGGCUGAGCUGGAGCAGCUUUCACACACAGAGGAUCACAUCCAUUUCCUCCAGAGCUGUCAGUCCCUCUGUGCCCCUCCUGGACCUGGGGACUUACCCAGCAUCACUGUCAGUCCAAACGUCUCUUUUGAGGCUGUGAGGAAAUCUGUCUCUGAACUGAAAGAGCGACUGGAGGAUGUUUUCAAGGCGGAGUUCAAAGUUUGUGGAAGAGUGGAAGAAGUCUCUGUUCUAGAGCCCCAGACCAGACAGGACUUCUUACAAUAUGGCUGUCAGCUCACACUGGACCCCAACACAGCGCACAGAAACCUCCGUCUGUCUGAGGGGAACAGAGAGGUGACCUGGGUGGGACAGAUCCAGUCAUAUCCUGAUCAUCCAGAGAGAUUUGAGCGCUGGCCCCAAGUGUUGUGCAGAGAGGGUGUGUCUGGACGCUGUUACUGGGAGGCUGAGUGGAGUGUGGGUGGGGUUUCUAUAGCAGUGUCAUAUAAAGAGAUCAGCAGGAAAGGGGGGGGUAAUGACUGUGGAAUGGGACAUAAUAACAAGUCCUGGAGUUUGAUCUGCUCUCCCUACAGUUACUCUUUCAGGCACAAUAAUGUUGACACUAAAAUCCCUGUUCCCUCCUCCUCCAGAAUAGGAGUGUACCUGGAUCACAGGGCAGGAACUCUGUCCUUCUACAGCGUCUCUGACACAAUGACCCUCCUGCACAGAGUCCAGACCACAUUCACUCAGCCCCUCUAUCCUGGGUUUGGGGUUCAUUGUUAUGGAUCCUCUGUAAAACUGUGUGAUCUGGGAUGAGGCAGAGAGUGAAGGGAAGAUCAAAGAGAGGGAAACAUACUGAAAAUACUGUGAGAGAGAGAGGGUAAAAUAGGUGAACAAAAAAUGUUUUUGUUUGUUUUUAUAAGUGCCUUCAGGCCACAUCUCAAUAGUCCAGAACAAAAAAUUAUUCCUUUUUCAAAAAGAGGAAUAAAAUGAAGCGGCCAAAAAAUUAGGAACACCGGAAAGAAAAGAAAAAAAGAAAAAAUGUGGAAUUCACAGAAAUGUGGAAUAAAAAAUAACAGAAAUGUGGAAUAAAAAAUAACAGAAAUGUGGAAUAUAAAUGACAGAAAUGUGGAAUAAAAAAUAACAGAAAUGUGGAAUAAAAAAUAACAGAAAUGUGGAAUAAAAAAUAACAGAAAUGUGGAAUUCACGUGACCGCGUUCGUCCGCCGUUGUCAGUGCCUGGGCCGUCCAAUCCGCUCCUUUCCCUCAGAUGUCCCCCUUCUCCGCCUUGUCCCCGAUCGGGCCUCCACACCAUGGUAACCAGGUCUUAUGGGUUCUGUUCUGUACAUCGUGUGGGAAAUGUUGGGCUGAUGCCAAUAAAGCCAUUUGAAUUUGAAUUUGAGAGAGGGAGAGAUGGGGAGAGA